RNAcentral lists this ribosomal RNA (253 nucleotides) under uncultured bacterium. RNAcentral describes it as "partial 16S ribosomal RNA". It matches the Rfam family "Bacterial small subunit ribosomal RNA", at positions 524 to 776 of the family's 1533-position model. The record is from RNAcentral.
UACAGAGGGUGCAACCGUUGUUCGGAUUUACUGGGCGUAAAGCGCGUGUAGGCGGUCGGGCAAGUCGGAUGUGAAAGCCCAGGGCUCAACCCUGGAAGUGCACUCGAUACUGCUCGGCUAGAGUCCCGGAGAGGAUGGUGGAACUCUCGGUGUAGAGGUGAAAUUCGUAGAUAUCGAGAAGAACACCGGUGGCGAAGGCGGCCAUCUGGACGGUGACUGACGCUGAGACGCGAAAGCGUGGGGAGCAAACAGG